Long non-coding RNA from Zootoca vivipara (common lizard), 299 nucleotides. RefSeq lists it as uncharacterized. Lineage: Eukaryota; Metazoa; Chordata; Lepidosauria; Squamata; Lacertidae. The record is from RefSeq and is a predicted model, not a curated record.
GCAAUGCAGAUCAGCAUCUUUUACAUCAUUGCUCUUUCAGCGAUGCUCUUAGCUUCUCCAGGAUUCGUCCAUGCAGGGGAACCUCGUAAAUGCGAGUCUUUUGCUGGGACUUGCGAGUCUCAAUGUGAAAGGAUCAUUCAGAGUGCAACUUGUCCUGGAAAGAAGAUAUGCUGUGAGGAUGCAGGUAUUAAAGGUUAAAAUGGAAAGAAACAUCUGCUUCUUUCAGCAAUGGCUAUAACCCAAGCAACUAGAUGGAUGUGCUGCUAAUUUGGCCUGCAGAAAUACUUCCAUGAUGUGGG